Long non-coding RNA from Oncorhynchus tshawytscha (Chinook salmon), 567 nucleotides. The record is from Ensembl. NCBI's taxonomy places the organism in Eukaryota, Metazoa, Chordata, Actinopteri, Salmoniformes, Salmonidae.
AAUAUUUUCACCCCGUCACAUUCGUCGAUACGACGAGACCAAGGCGCAGCGUGAUUGGAAUACAUUCUUCUUUUAUUAAAACGAAGAACACUUAAACAAACUAACAAAAUGAACGUGAAGCUAUAAACAACUAGUGCUGACAUUUAACUACACAUAGAAAAUAACCCACAAAAUACCCAAGGAAUAUGGCUACCGAAAUAUGGUCCCCAAUCAGAGACAACAAUAAACAGCUGCCUCUGAUUGGGAACAAAUCUAGGCAACCAUAGACAUAUGAACACCUAGAUAUACAAAAAAACCUCGACAAUACAAAAACUACACAUACCACCCUCGUCACACCCUGACCCCGGACUGGGGACCGUUGCUAGAGUCCCUGGGCUGUGGCCCGUCGUUGGAGGUUCCGGACUGUGGCCCGUCGUUGGAGGUUCCGGACUGUGGCCCGUCGUUGGAGGUUCCGGACUGUGGCCCGUCGUUGGAGGUUCCGGACUGUGGCCCGUCGUUGGAGGUUCCGUCUGUGAACUGUCGACGAAAGCUCUGGACUGGGUACUGUCGCCGGUCGCUCUGGACUGC